RNAcentral lists this ribosomal RNA (465 nucleotides) under uncultured bacterium. RNAcentral's name for it is "partial 16S ribosomal RNA". It matches the Rfam family "Bacterial small subunit ribosomal RNA", at positions 28 to 507 of the family's 1533-position model. The record is from RNAcentral.
GACGAACGCUGGCGGCGUGCUUAACACAUGCAAGUCGAACGGAAAGGCCCUGCUUGCAGGGUACUCGAGUGGCGAACGGGUGGGUAACACGUGGGUGAUCUGCCCUGCACUUCGGGAUAAGCCGGGGAAACUGGGUCUAAUACCGGAUGGGAGCCAUUUUUGGGGGGAUGGUUGGAAAGUUUUUUCGGUGUAGGAUGAGCUCGCGGCCUAUCAGCUUGUUGGUGGGGUAAUGGCCUACCAAGGCGGCGACGGGUAGCCGGCCUGAGAGGGUGGACGGCCACAUUGGGACUGAGAUACGGCCCAGACUCCUACGGGAGGCAGCAGUGGGGAAUAUUGCACAAUGGGCGCAAGCCUGAUGCAGCGACGCCGCGUGGGGGAUGACGGCCUUCGGGUUGUAAACUCCUUUCGCUAGGGACGAAGCUUUUUGUGACGGUACCUAGAUAAGAAGCACCGGCUAACUACGUG